UACGGGAGGCAGCAGUAAGGAAUAUUGGACAAUGGUCGCAAGACUGAUCCAGCCAUGCCGCGUGCAGGAAGACGGCCCUAUGGGUUGUAAACUGCUUUUGCACCAGAGAAAACCCUUCUACGUGUAGGAGGCUGAUAGUAUGGUGAGAAUAAGCAUCGGCUAACUUCGUGCCAGCAGCCGCGGUAAGACGAAGGAUGCAAGCGUUAUCCGGAUUCAUUGGGUUUAAAGGGAGCGUAGGUGGACUUGUAAGUCAGUGGUGAAAUCCCAUCGCUUAACGAUGGAACUGCCAUUGAUACUGCUUGUCUUGAGUACAGAUGCUGUGGGCGGAAUAUGACAUGUAGUGGUGAAAUACUUAGAGAUGUCAUAGAACACCGAUUGCGAAGGCAGCUCACAAAACUGUAACUGACACUGAGGCUCGAAAGUAUGGGGAUCAAACAGGAUUAGAUACCCUGGUAGUCCAUACAGUAAACGAUGAUUACUCGCUGUUGGAAGGUAACUUUCAGUGGCUAAGCGAAAGCGAUAAGUAAUCCACCUGGGGAGUACGCCGGCAACGGUGAAACUCAAAGGAAUUGACGG
RNAcentral lists this ribosomal RNA (576 nucleotides) under uncultured bacterium. RNAcentral describes it as "bacterial SSU rRNA". It matches the Rfam family "Bacterial small subunit ribosomal RNA", at positions 340 to 916 of the family's 1533-position model. The record is from RNAcentral.